RNAcentral lists this long non-coding RNA (953 nucleotides) under Felis catus (domestic cat). Its description in RNAcentral is "lncRNA (ENSFCAG00000041278.2)". Lineage: Eukaryota; Metazoa; Chordata; Mammalia; Carnivora; Felidae. The record is from RNAcentral.
GAGCCCGGAGGAGCCCGAAGGAGCCCGGAGGAGCCCGAAGGAGCCCGGAGGAGCCCGAAGGAGCCCGGAGGAGCCCGAAGGAGCCCGGAGGAGCCCGAAGGAGCCCGAAGGAGCCCGAAAGACCGGGGCGGGCCGAGAACCGCGGGCACCAAUGGCCGGGCCCGCCCCGCCCCCUGGCCGGAGACUUGAGGGGAUUGGCUGCCCGCCUCCCGCUGCGCCGCCGACCUCGUCGCCGCGCCACCGCCGGGUUCUCUGUGCCGCACGCGAGUCGUCGGCUUCAUCCCGCGGAGCUGAGCCGUAAGUGUUGGUGGGCAUGGGGGAAGGUGCCAGGCCUCCGGGCCCGGGUGGGGCUGCGCUCGCCCCGCGUCCCCUCGAGCUUUGCCCGCCCGGAGCUCCGCUGCUCCCGGCGGCCAGGACGGAGGGGUAGAGCAGCCCUCGGCGGCCCGGGGGGCGGGCGGUCCAGCCCGUCCCGGGGCCGCGCGAGGCACAGACGCAGCGCGGAGCCGCCGGGAGGCUUCCCCGCGGGCAGGCCCGAGCGCCCUAACCAUCUUGCGCUUUGCUCCCCCAGGGCGCUGGCCCGCAAGAGGCGGCUGCUUGCGGCGUGUCUCGGGGCCCGGCCCCCGCCUGCGAAUGCAGGAGCCCGACCCGGGGCCUGCGGAGUCGGUCUCCGACGUGUGCGGGGCUGCAGCGGCCUGACUUCCAGGCUCAGGUUGAAAACUACGGGCACAAGCCAUGGAAGCUGGAGUACUCUAAUGCUGAUGGGGAGAGAUUCUCAAGCACUUUCCAUGCUUAGCUCGGAUCUCCACGCGGGGCUUGAUCCCACAGACCUGGGCCGAAAUCAAGAGUUGGAUGCUGAACCCACUGAGCCACCCGGGCAUCCCCACCUUGGAAUCCCUCUUAAUGCUUAUUUCAUAACACUGUUGAAGCCUUUGUAUCUAAAUUGCAUUUUUUAA